CAGUCGCCGCGGGAAUACGAAGGGGGCUAGCGUUGUUCGGAAUUACUGGGCGUAAAGCGCACGCAGGCGGCUCGAUAAAUUAGAAGUGAAAGCCUUGGGCUUAACCUGAGAAUUGCUUUUAAGACUGUCGAGCUAGAAUCCAGAAGAGGGUAGUGGAAUUCCGAGUGUAGAGGUGAAAUUCGUAGAUAUGCGGAGGAACACCGAUGGCGAAGGCAGCCCCCUGGGCCAACACUGACGCUCAUGCACGAAAGCGUGGGGAGCAAACAGGAUUAGAUACCCGCGUAGUCCCUGUCUCUUAUAC
RNAcentral lists this ribosomal RNA (301 nucleotides) under uncultured bacterium. RNAcentral describes it as "partial 16S ribosomal RNA". It matches the Rfam family "Bacterial small subunit ribosomal RNA", at positions 509 to 807 of the family's 1533-position model. The record is from RNAcentral.